RNAcentral lists this ribosomal RNA (336 nucleotides) under uncultured Anoxybacillus sp. RNAcentral's name for it is "bacterial SSU rRNA". It matches the Rfam family "Bacterial small subunit ribosomal RNA", at positions 1044 to 1382 of the family's 1533-position model. Lineage: Bacteria; Bacillati; Bacillota; Bacilli; Caryophanales; Anoxybacillaceae. The record is from RNAcentral.
CAUGGUUGUCGUCAGCUCGUGUCGUGAGAUGUUCGGUUAAGUCCCGCAACGAGCGCAACCCUCGACCUUAGUUGCCAGCAUUCAGUUGGGCACUCUAAGGUGACUGCCGGCUAAAAGUCGGAGGAAGGUGGGGAUGACGUCAAAUCAUCAUGCCCCUUAUGACCUGGGCUACACACGUGCUACAAUGGGCGGUACAAAGGGUCGCGAACCCGCAGGGGGAGCCAAUCCCAAAAAGCCGCUCUCAGUUCGGAUUGCAGGCUGCAACUCGCCUGCAUGAAGCCGGAAUCGCUAGUAAUCGCGGAUCAGCAUGCCGCGGUGAAUACGUUCCCGGGCCUU